Molecule: long non-coding RNA, 660 nt
Organism: Phyllostomus discolor (pale spear-nosed bat)
Lineage: Eukaryota; Metazoa; Chordata; Mammalia; Chiroptera; Phyllostomidae
Exons: 2
Source: RefSeq, a predicted model, not a curated record
CCCGCCCCCUUCCACCGGCCGCGGGAAAUCAAACGGGCUGGUGGCGCCCCAACCGCCACCUGGCCUCAGCGCGAAGGGCGGGGUAGGGUGGGCAGCUCCAAGGUUGCCCCUAACGACCUGAGUCGGGCCGGGACUCAGCAGUCUCCGUCUGGCCUCGAGCGCACGAAUCACCUCCACCCUCGAGACCGCCCUGGCUCGUAUGCUGCUUGGGUGUGAAUGCCUUCCCCCUGCCUGCCCCCACCCUCUCUCUAGAGGAUGCCUACAGAGCCCCGACUGCGGUAUUUGCCUGCUGCAAGCUGGAAGACACAGAACGACUUUCCUAGCUCACGGUUGCUUUCACAAGCCGGGGACUCUCACCUUUUGUUUUUAAGAACUCCCAGACCCUUCCUUGCCCUGUUCAGAGCUGGUCCUUCUUCAGAAAUCCUCAGCUUUGAUGCCUCCACUGCUAAAAGACCUGCCAGGCUUCCAGGCUGGCUUUGGCUCCAUUGUGGUGCUCACUCAAACCCACAUUCCCUGUGAUGGGCUGCAUCACACUUUUCUGCAAUUGCCUGGCUAGCUUUGAAUUCUCCCGACUGGCCAUAUGGCCUGACACAGAGCAAGCCUUCUGUGACCACCUGGAGAGUGAAUGAAUGAGCAAAUGAAUCAUCAUAGUCAACACUA